Fukomys damarensis (Damara mole-rat) is the source of this 767-nucleotide RNA transcript. It is a transcript of the gene named small integral membrane protein 11A, with no coding region annotated. The transcript is spliced from 5 exons. The record is from RefSeq and is a predicted model, not a curated record. Lineage: Eukaryota; Metazoa; Chordata; Mammalia; Rodentia; Bathyergidae.
UCGUCGGAAGUUGUAGUUUCCCCGGUAGGAUUGUGGGAGUCGUGGUUUGCUUGCAAAUUGCAGAAGCCGGGUGUUUGAGGCUCCGCCGCUGGGAGGAUACCUUGGAGCUCUUAAGGAUCUGACUACCCCAGCUCCCUCUCAUGCACCGGUCUGAGGGGACGGCAGUGACCACAAGUGAACUCACGGUUGGUGCAUUAUGAACUGGAAGGUUCUCGAUCAAGUGCCCCUGCUGCUGUAUAUCUUGGCGGCAAAAACACUGAUCCUCUGCCUGGCAUUUGCCGGAGUGAAAAUGUACCAAAGGAAGAGACUGGAAGACAAACAGCAAAAACUGGAGGCCGAAAAGAAGAAGCAGUCUGAGAAGAAAGACAGCUGAAAGCAAAUUGAAGGCUGUUCCUGAACCGCAGUGACUCUCAAGUCUUGGCCUAGAUGUCCCUUCCCGGCAGUUUCCUCCUCGGGUAUCUUGUAGCCAGUGCCUGUCCCAGUGCAUACACAGGCCCAGAGCAGGCUGUGGGGUGCAAACCCUGGCACUCCAGGGAGCUGUUCCUCAGGCCCGGUUACACAUGUAACAUACUGGCGGUUUCCUUGGUUCCGGAGUGUCCAUGUAAUGUCUUCAGAUUUUGCCUUUAACAUGUCAGCCUGGGUGGGCUCCAGCUGAGAAGAAAGAAGAAGGAAUUACUGAAUGAUGUAUCGGGAUAAACUCCCAACCUGUAGCUUUAAUUUAAUGUGCAUAUUCAUGUACUUUUUUAAAAAAACAGUAUUUUGCUUAG